RNAcentral lists this ribosomal RNA (265 nucleotides) under uncultured bacterium. RNAcentral describes it as "partial 16S ribosomal RNA". It matches the Rfam family "Bacterial small subunit ribosomal RNA", at positions 524 to 788 of the family's 1533-position model. The record is from RNAcentral.
UACGUAGGGGGCGAGCGUUGUCCGGAUUUACUGGGCGUAAAGAGCGCGUAGGCGGAGACUUAAGUGUGGCCUGAAAGCCCCCGGCUCAACCGGGGAGGGUGGCUGCAAACUGGGUUUCUAGAGGGGGAUAGAGGAAAGUGGAAUUCCGGGUGUAGCGGUGAAAUGCGUAGAGAUCCGGAGGAACACCAGUGGCGAAGGCGGCUUUCUGGACCAAUACUGACGCUGAGACGCGAAAGCGUGGGGAGCAAACAGGAUUAGAAACCCC